GGGUUGAUCCUGCCGGACCCGACUGCUAUCGGAUUGAGAUUUAGCCAUGCGAGUCGAACGUCCCCCUGUUGCGGGGGGCGUGGCGUACGGCUCAGUAACACGUAGUCAACCUGCCCUGGAGACAUGGACAACCCCGGGAAACUGGGAUUAAUCCGUGAUAGGUCAUCUCAUCUGGAAGGAGAGAUGGCUUAAAGGGGUACGCGGGCUUCUUCUGCGUAUUCGCUCCAGGAUGGGACUGCGACCGAUCAGGCUGUUGGCGGGGUAAUGGCCCACCAAACCUGUAACCGGUACGGGCCUUGAGAGAGGUGGCCCGGAGAUGGACACUGAGAGAAGGGUCCAGGUCCUACGGGGCGCAGCAGGCGCGAAACCUUCGCAAUGCGCGAAAGCGUGACGAGGUUAAUCCGAGUGGCCCCCGCUGAGGGGGUCUUUUGUCAGCUGUAAAUAGGCAGGCGAAUAAGGGGAGGGCAAGCCUGGUGUCAGCCGCCGCGGUAAUACCAGCUCCUCGAGUGGUCGGGGCGAUUAUUGGGCCUAAAGCAUCCGUAGCCGGUUCCGUAGGUCCUCUGUUAAAUCCAACCGCUCAACGGUUGACCUGCAGAGGAUACCGCGGGACUAGGAGGCGGGAGAGGCGGACGGUACUCCGCGUGUAGGGGUAAAAUCCUUUGAUCCGCGGAAGACCACCAGUGGCGAAGGCGGUCCGCCAGAACGUGCUCGACGGUGAGGGAUGAAAGCUGGGGGAGCGAACCGGAUUAGAUACCCGGGUAGUCCCAGCCGUAAACGAUGCUAGCUAGAUGAUUCAUUCGCAAGUCGCGAAUGAAGUGUCGCAGGGAAGCCGUUAAGCUAGCCGCCUGGGGAGUACGGUCGCAAGACUGAAACUUAAAGGAAUCGGCGGGGGAGCACCACAAGGGGUGAAGCCUGCGGUUCAAUUGGAUUCAACGCCGGG
RNAcentral lists this ribosomal RNA (940 nucleotides) under uncultured crenarchaeote. RNAcentral's name for it is "bacterial SSU rRNA". It matches the Rfam family "Archaeal small subunit ribosomal RNA", at positions 5 to 922 of the family's 1478-position model. Lineage: Archaea; Thermoproteati; Thermoproteota. The record is from RNAcentral.